AACGAACGCUGGCGGCGCGCCUAAUACAUGCAAGUCGAGCGAGAAGACGUAGCAAUACGUUUGUAAAGCGGCGAACGGGUGAGGAAUACAUGGGUAACCUACCCUCGAGUGGGGAAUAACUAGCCGAAAGGUUAGCUAAUACCGCGUACGCUCCUUGGACUUCGGUUCAGGGAGGAAAGCGAUACCGUGGGUAUCGCGCUCUUGGAUGGGCUCAUGUCCUAUCAGCUUGUUGGUGAGGUAACGGCUCACCAAGGCCUCGACGGGUAGCUGGUCUGAGAGGACGAUCAGCCACACUGGCACUGCGACACGGGCCAGACUCCUACGGGAGGCAGCAGUAAGGAAUAUUGCGCAAUGGGCGAAAGCCUGACGCAGCGACGCCGCGUGGGGGAUGAAGGUCUUCGGAUUGUAAACCCCUUUCGGG
RNAcentral lists this ribosomal RNA (421 nucleotides) under uncultured bacterium. RNAcentral describes it as "bacterial SSU rRNA". It matches the Rfam family "Bacterial small subunit ribosomal RNA", at positions 29 to 440 of the family's 1533-position model. The record is from RNAcentral.